This 447-nucleotide ribosomal RNA is filed under the name uncultured bacterium. RNAcentral's name for it is "bacterial SSU rRNA". It matches the Rfam family "Bacterial small subunit ribosomal RNA", at positions 355 to 825 of the family's 1533-position model. The record is from RNAcentral.
UGGGGAAUAUUGCGCAAUGCGCGAAAGCGUGACGCAGCAACGCCGCGUGAAGGAUGAAGUAUUUCGGUAUGUAAACUUCGAAAGAAUAGGAAGAAUAAAUGACGGUACUAUUUAUAAGGUCCGGCUAACUACGUGCCAGCAGCCGCGGUAAUACGUAGGGACCAAGCGUUGUUCGGAUUUACUGGGCGUAAAGGGCGCGUAGGCGGCAAUUCAAGUCAUCUGUGAAAUCUCCGGGCUUAACUCGGAACGGUCAGAUGAUACUGCUUUGCUAGAGUGCAGAAGGGGCAAUCGGAAUUCUUGGUGUAGCGGUGAAAUGCGUAGAUAUCAAGAGGAACACCUGAGGUGAAGACGGGUUGCUGGGCUGACACUGACGCUGAGGCGCGAAAGCCAGGGGAGCAAACGGGAUUAGAUACCCCCGUAGUCCCUGAGCGGGCUGGCAAGGCGCAU